RNAcentral lists this ribosomal RNA (489 nucleotides) under uncultured bacterium. Its description in RNAcentral is "partial 16S ribosomal RNA". It matches the Rfam family "Bacterial small subunit ribosomal RNA", at positions 30 to 507 of the family's 1533-position model. The record is from RNAcentral.
UUGAACGCUGGCGGCAGGCCUAACACAUGCAAGUCGAACGGUAACAGGAAGAAGCUUGCUUCUUUGCUGACGAGUGGCGGACGGGUGAGUAAUGUCUGGGAAACUGCCUGAUGGAGGGGGAUAACUACUGGAAACGGUAGCUAAUACCGCAUAAUGUCGCAAGACCAAAGAGGGGGACCUUCGGGCCUCUUGCCAUCGGAUGUGCCCAGAUGGGAUAAGCUAGUAGGUGGGGUAACGGCUCACCUAGGCGACGAUCCCUAGCUGGUCUGAGAGGAUGACCAGCCACACUGGAACUGAGACACGGUCCAGACUCCUACGGGAGGCAGCAGUGGGGAAUAUUGCACAAUGGGCGCAAGCCUGAUGCAGCUAUGCCGCGUGUAUGAAGAAGGCCUUCGGGUUGUAAAGUACUUUCAGCGGGGAGGAAGGGAGUAAAGUUAAUACCUUUGCUCAUUGACGUUACCCGCAGAAGAAGCACCGGCUAACUCCGUG